This 608-nucleotide non-coding RNA is filed under the name Lobosporangium transversale. RNAcentral's name for it is "Eukaryotic large subunit ribosomal RNA". It matches the Rfam family "Eukaryotic large subunit ribosomal RNA", at positions 2787 to 3401 of the family's 3401-position model. Lineage: Eukaryota; Fungi; Mortierellomycota; Mortierellomycetes; Mortierellales; Mortierellaceae. The record is from Rfam by way of RNAcentral.
AGAUUACCAAAUAAAGAUCAUCAUAGCAGAGAUAACUGGCUUUUGGCAGCCAAACAUUCAUAACGAUGCUGCAUUUUGAUCCUUUCGUGUUGGCCUUCAUAUAUCUUACUGAUGCAGAACACAGUAAGCGCUGGACUGCCUAUCCAUUAAUAGGGGGCGUGAGCUGGAUUAAGACUGUCGUGAGACAAGUUAGUUUUUGCCAAACUGAUGAAAUGUUUAUUCCAAUAGUAAUUGAAGUUUGUACAAGAGAGACCAUUCGUUCGGAAUAUUGGUAUUUGAGGCCGACUGGACAGGUAAUGGCCCGAAGCUCUCGUCCGUCGGACUAUGGCUGGAUGCCUCAAAGUCAGAAUCCGUAGUUAGAACGCGACAAUGAUUUUUUUUUUCCGAUUUUUUCUCCUCUAUAUUUAAUACGAAUAAGAGACUUUGACUUCAGAAGUAUGCUAUGCAGGGUGUAGAGAGAUUUGUGUAGUGCUUGUUAAUGUUGAAGCUGAAUAUCGGGAGAGACAGACCUACUGCAGACAACUUUUAGGCAACAUGACAUUGAAAUUGUAAAGUAAAUCAAGCCAGCAAAAAAGUAGUUGAGGCUGGGCACUUUGUUAUUCAGAUUU